UACGUAGGGCGCAAGCGUUGUCCGGAAUUAUUGGGCGUAAAGAGCUCGUAGGCGGCCUGUUACGUCUGCUGUGAAAUCCCGGGGCUUAACCCCGGGCGUGCAGUGGAUACGGGCAGGCUGGAGGCAGGCAGGGGAGAACGGAAUUCCCGGUGUAGCGGUGAAAUGCGCAGAUAUCGGGAGGAACACCGGUGGCGAAGGCGGGUCUCUGGGCCGAUACUGACGCUGAGGAGCGAAAGCGUGGGGAGCGAACAGG
This 253-nucleotide ribosomal RNA is filed under the name uncultured bacterium. RNAcentral's name for it is "partial 16S ribosomal RNA". It matches the Rfam family "Bacterial small subunit ribosomal RNA", at positions 524 to 776 of the family's 1533-position model. The record is from RNAcentral.